Molecule: ribosomal RNA, 303 nt
Filed under: Triticum aestivum (bread wheat)
Lineage: Eukaryota; Viridiplantae; Streptophyta; Magnoliopsida; Poales; Poaceae
Description: partial small subunit ribosomal RNA
Source: RNAcentral
AUGGGUGUCGCCGUUAGUAGCGAGGACCUCGAAGACGCCGCCGUCGAGCGCGAGCACGCUCACGUCGAAGGUGCCGCCGCCGAGGUCGAACACGAGCACGUUCCGCUCCUUCCCGUCGGCCACCUUGUCGAGGCCGUAGGCGAUGGCGGCGGCAGUGGGCUCGUUGAUGAGGCGGACGACGUUGAGGCCGGCGUCCUUGGUGGCCUGGCGCUGCGCAUCGUUGAAGUAGGCCGGGAUGGUGAUCACGGCGUCCCGGACCUUGUCGCCGAGAUACGCCUCGGCUGUCUCCUUCAUCCUGGCUGA